CAAAUAAAUCUCUAGAACAUUUAUUUACAAGCCAAGCAAUACAGAAUUUUUUUUUGAUAUUCGGUGUUUAAAAUAAGGUUUUCAUAGCUACAUACAAUGUGCAUUUAGUAAUUAUUGAUUGUUCGUUUACAUGAACGCCAGUUCAAAAUCAAACCUACGUCAGCAUUUCUAUUUUCAAAUUAAAUUGUAUCUAAACGUUAUUUAUGGACGCCCCCUGCUGUCUUCGCACUCGCAAACGUCAACAAUUCAAUCGUAGCAGGCAGUUGUUUUUUUCGUCGUCGCGGCCGGCUGUGUGUUUACAAGUGAUAACACCGUUUUGUUUUCGUUCGCGGGAGUUUGUUUGUGUUUAUUUGUAUGUGAGAACAAUCGUGACCAAAUUGGCCACCGAAGAAGCGAGGACAAAAUCUGUCUAUUGUUUUGAGUGGCCUCCGGAAGCAAAACAAGUUAGCAGCAGCUGUUUUUUCCUCCUUUCUGUGGGUGACGGCCUAACAACCUCCGGAAGGCGUUUUUUCGGUAGUCCAACUCCCGGAUGUGCAACCUGCGCUUGAAUUAGCUGUCAAAAGGUAAAAGUAAAAGACGCUUACACAAAAAAUGUUUUUCAAAACGGCUGAGUCGAUUCAAGCUGCUUUUCUGUCAGCUGAAAAAAUAGUCUUGCCAACCCUACCUUCCCGAAGAAAGGAGCGGAGGAGGAAGUUGAUUCGCCGAAGUCGGAACGUGAGCUGCAAAACCGGCGGAGAUUGUGUCGUUCCCAUAGGCUAGGUUGGUGAGUUGAUUGGUGAACUCGAUUCCGUGCA
Molecule: long non-coding RNA, 794 nt
Organism: Culex quinquefasciatus (southern house mosquito)
Lineage: Eukaryota; Metazoa; Arthropoda; Insecta; Diptera; Culicidae
Exons: 3
Source: RefSeq, a predicted model, not a curated record